CUCAAUAAUGGCACCAGUGCCGCCCCUAACAGUCAGAAUAUCGGCCACCUUCAAGAUGACGUCUUUAGGCGAAGUCCAGCCGCUGAUCUUGCCAGUGAGGUUGACACCAAUAACCUUGGGGCACUUCAGCUCCCAGGCGAUGUCAGCCAUGACGUCGACGGCAUCAGCGCCGCCCACACCAAUGCAAAGGCCACCAAGACCACCGCCAUUGGGCGUGUGAGAGUCAGUACCGAUCAUCAGCAGACCGGGGAAGGCAUAAUUC
Molecule: long non-coding RNA, 262 nt
Organism: Drosophila albomicans
Lineage: Eukaryota; Metazoa; Arthropoda; Insecta; Diptera; Drosophilidae
Exons: 2
Source: RefSeq, a predicted model, not a curated record